GUUGUAGCUCAGUGGUAGAGCGCUUAUCUUGCAUGCGUGAGGUGCUGGGUUCAAUCCUCAGCACAACA
RNAcentral lists this transfer RNA (68 nucleotides) under Marmota monax (woodchuck). RNAcentral's name for it is "tRNA.Ala". Lineage: Eukaryota; Metazoa; Chordata; Mammalia; Rodentia; Sciuridae. The record is from RNAcentral.